GAUGAAGAACGUAGCGAAAUGCGAUACGUAAUGUGAAUUGCAGAAUUCAGUGAAUCAUCGAAUCUUUGAACGCAUAUUGCGCUCUUUGGUAUUCCGAAGAGCAUGCUUGGUUGAGUAUCAGUAAACACCUCAAAGACUUCAAUUUGUUUUGAAUGGCUUUGGACUUGAGCAAUCCCAACACCAGUCUUUACGAUCGGUGGAGGGUUGCUUGAAAUGCAGGUGCAGCUGGACAUUCUCCUGAGCUAAAAGCAUAUUUAUUUAGUCCCGUCAAACGGAUUAUUACUUUUGCUGCAGCUAACAUAAAGGGAGUUUGACCGUAUUGGCUGACUGAUGCAGGAUUUCACAAUGGUCGGCAACGAUUCUUGUAAAACUCGAUCUCAAAUCAAGUAAGACUACCCGCUGAACUUAAGCAUAUCAAUAAGCGGAGGA
Molecule: unclassified non-coding RNA, 429 nt
Filed under: soil metagenome
Description: partial contains 5.8S ribosomal RNA, internal transcribed spacer 2, and large subunit ribosomal RNA
Rfam family: 5.8S ribosomal RNA (bases 1-120)
Source: RNAcentral